GAUGAACGCUAGCUACAGGCUUAACACAUGCAAGUCGAGGGGAAACGAUAGAGAAAGCUUGCUUUUUCUAGGCGUCGACCGGCGCACGGGUGAGUAACGCGUAUCCAACCUGCCCAUCACUUGGGGAUAACCUUGCGAAAGUAAGACUAAUACCCAAUGACGUCUCUAGAAGACAUCUGAAGGAGAGUAACGAUUUAUCGGUGUUGGAUGGGGAUGCGUCUGAUUAGAUUGUUGGCGGGGUAACGGCCCGCCAAGGCGAAGAUCAGUAGGGGUACUGACAGGAAGCUCGCCUACAUUAGAACAGUGACACGGUCCAAACUCCUACAGGAGGCAGCAGUGAGAAAUAUUGGGUAAUUGACGAAAGUCUGAACCAGCCAAGUAGCGUGCAGGAUGACGGCCCUAUGAGUUGUAAACUGCCUUUAUAAGGGAAUAAAGUGCGCCACGUGUGGCUUUUUGCAUGUACCUUAUGAAUAAGCACCGGCUAAUUCCGUGCCAGCCGCCGCCGUAA
This 508-nucleotide ribosomal RNA is filed under the name uncultured bacterium. Its description in RNAcentral is "partial 16S ribosomal RNA". It matches the Rfam family "Bacterial small subunit ribosomal RNA", at positions 28 to 523 of the family's 1533-position model. The record is from RNAcentral.